CCCCAACUUCCCAGGAUAUGCAAAGAGAAGAAUUUAACUGUAUUGUGGGUGAAGAUCGUGUUCCGUGUGGGUCUGGUCUUACUGAAGCAGAUGCUGGGUUCUGUGGAUAAACUGCGGGAGGUACAGGGAAUGUACGAGACCAUGGAGCGCCUGAGGAACAUCUCACCGGACAGCAUCAGAGAGGAAAUGCUGGUUCAAGAGGUCACGGUCGUCCCUGUAACCGAGGCUUUGAUCGAGAGGGAGUGCGCCGUCCAGGUGAAGAAGUGGCGCGAGUCUCGCGGUGCCCUGACACACCAGCCGGGCCGCAGGCUUCACGGCACGCGGGACAUCCACGAGCAAAAGCGCCGCGCCGCCGCCAUCAGUUCCGGGGGAAGCCUGUCCUUCCUGGGCAGCUCCAUGUCCUCUCCUCCGCCCGGCCCCUGCGCUCCUCUUCCAGCCUCCUCUCUCUUCCCGGUUUCCGGAAAUCCAAAAAUCCGUUCUCUUACGGUAAAAAAAGCUCCUUUUCUGCGGAAACGCAGGUGUUUGGAGGCGGGACUCCUAUAAUGAUAACCUCGUCUGGGCCACCACGCCCACCUGUUUCUGCCGCGGCCCCGCCCGCAGGAGGUGCAGGAGCGCAGAGGCCUAGUCCUUUAGUGGCGAAACCCCCAACGGCACCAAAAUCUCCAGUGUCAAAUUCUGGGCCAGAAUUAACACCGGACGCCACAUCGGCGCCGAAAUCUGAACCGGAACCGACGUCGGCGCCGAAAUCUGGACCAGAACCCCCAUCGGCGCCGAAAUCUGAACCGGAACCGACGCCAUCGCCGAAGUCUGAACCGACCCCGGCGCCAAAAUCUGAACCGGAACCUGCACCGGAAUCUGCAACAAAACCCACAUCAGAACCAGCAUCAGUGUCGAAAUCCAGUGAGGAACCCGCUCGUCCGUCGAUCCCGAACCAACUCCAGCCCCCCAGAGUAGUCUCGGAACAAGUCACGCCCACGAUCCCGUCUCCCACGGCCAACAACGUGCCUCUGCCUCUCUGCGAGGACGAGGGCAAGAAGAAGAAGAAGAAGAGCAAGGAGGAGAAGAAGAAGGAGAAGGAGGAGGAGAAGCUGAAGGCGCGAGAGAAGAAGGAACGCGAUAAGGCGGAGAAGGAGAAGGCGAGGAAGGAGAAGGAGAGGGCCGAGAAGGAGAAGGAGAAGGCCGAGAAGGAGAAGGCCGAGAAGAAGAAGGAGAAAGGCGGCAAAAAGAAGGACAAGGCCGCAAGCGCCGAGGCGGAGGAGAAGAACGGAGCCGCGGCAGCCAAACACGCGGCCUAGCUUUCUGAACUAAAAAGGCGAAUAGAGCACAAAGGAAGGGAGGAUUUACAUCUUAAAGAGAAUUGGAUCACGUUUUAUGGCUCUGAAUCCUCUCAUUUACAUUCACAUCCAUUAGAAGAGAUAUUAAAACGCGCGCACCUGCACACAGUCAGUCUGUACAUAGAUCAAUAGGUCGUUAUUUAGUAAGACGUCCAACCAUAAAACAUUCAUCCGAUCCCUCUAAAUCGGACAGCGACCCCUAAUAGACGUUGUCCUCGCCGUAGACUUAACAACGAGCCCGUAUUUAUGAACAUGUCUGUUAGCGUGUGCUUGUGUGUGUUUACAUGUCCGUGUAGUGUAGUGUCGCUGUCCGGUGUUCCUGACUUGACCCGUAGGAGGCGCUCUUUUUCAUCCUUCAGGAAGAAAUGGAAAGAGAGGGGAAAAAAAAAAAAAGAACCCAGUGUCUGGUUUGGCCACUAGAGGGACUCGAAGAGCAGACUGAACUGAAACUGGACUGAGGUUUGUUAGAAAUGGUACUGCGGUCAGAAUAGCGUCAUCCUAGCCAACUGAAACUCUUCGGCCGUCUUCUUAAUCUUCAUAUCUUAAGUCAUUAUGCCUGCUCGCUCUGUUUCUAUUUCAGCUCUCUGAUUGUCUGUGUGUGUGUGUGUGUGUGUGUGUGUGUGUGUGUGUGUCCCUCUGCUUUUGAAGACGGGACUAAGGCUGGGCGAUACAACCAAAAGGUUUCAUAAUCAUGAUACGUGAACUGCCCUCAAAAAUCUGCAGAAAAUCUCUCUUGAAUGUCUACAAGAAGCAGGAUCUCUUCACAGCUCCGGUUAUAGACUCCCCGGUUCGAACCCGAGCUCGGGUGAAGAGGUUUUUUUUUGUUUUUUUUUUUAAAUACACGUUUUACAACGUUCUUUCCAUGUACGUUCCUUCCAGGUUUUCUCCGACCUCCUAAAGAACCCCAUACUGAUACACAAACUUGACCUUAGGUGUGAGGUUUUAAAGACCAACUGCAAACUGUUACCAGGAAACAAUUAGCUUCCAGUUCGAUUGAAUUGUUAUUUUUUUCAAAGGGGGGGGGG
Long non-coding RNA from Ictalurus punctatus (channel catfish), 2359 nucleotides. The record is from Ensembl. Lineage: Eukaryota; Metazoa; Chordata; Actinopteri; Siluriformes; Ictaluridae.